GAAGGUAUAGCUCAGUGAUAGAGCGUUUGCUUAGCAUGCAUGAGAGCCUGGGUUCAAUCCCCAGUACCUUCA
RNAcentral lists this transfer RNA (72 nucleotides) under Camelus bactrianus (Bactrian camel). It matches the Rfam family "tRNA". Rfam says of the family: Transfer RNA (tRNA) molecules are approximately 80 nucleotides in length. Their secondary structure includes four short double-helical elements and three loops (D, anti-codon, and T loops). RNAcentral also lists the same sequence under 1 other name. The record is from Rfam by way of RNAcentral. Lineage: Eukaryota; Metazoa; Chordata; Mammalia; Artiodactyla; Camelidae.